AAAAUCCGUCGACUUUAGAAAUCGUGAGGGUUCAAGUCCCUCUAUCCCCCCAAAAAGACCGAUUUGACUAUUUCUCCUACCCUCUCUUUUUUUUAGUGGUUCAAAAUCCGUUCUCUUUCUCAUUCAUUCUACCUUUUUACAAACGUAUCAGAGCAUAAUUUUUUUUUUAUCACAAUCCCAAUCCCAAGUGGUGUGGUAUAUAUGAUAUACGUACAAAUGAACAUCUUUGAACAAAGAAUCCCGAUUCACAAUUCAUAUCAUUGCUCAUACUGAAACUUAUAAAUUAUUCUAUUCAAGAAAUCGAAUUCCACGCUCAAGACUUUUAAUACUUUUUUAUCUUUUUUAAUUGACAUAGACCCCAGUCAUCUAGUAAAAUGAGGAUGAUGCGCCGGUAAUGGUCGGGAUAGCUCAGCUGGUAGAGCAGAGGACUGAAAAUCCUCGUGUCACCAGUUCAAUA
Molecule: transfer RNA, 457 nt
Filed under: Acer rufinerve
Lineage: Eukaryota; Viridiplantae; Streptophyta; Magnoliopsida; Sapindales; Sapindaceae
Description: partial transfer RNA-Leu
Rfam family: tRNA (bases 398-457)
Source: RNAcentral